CGAACGCUGGCGGCGUGCUCAACACAUGCAAGUCGAACGGAAAGGCCCCUUUGGGGGUACUCGAGUGGCGAACGGGAGAGUAACACGUGAGUAACCUUCCCUUGACCUCGGGAUAACUUCAGGAAACUGGGGCUAAUACCGGAUAGGAAUCCUUGCUGCAUGGUGGGGGUUGGAAAGCUUCGGCGGUUUUGGAUGGACUCGCGGCUUAUCAGCUUGUUGGUGGGGGAGUGGCUUACCAAGGCCUUGACGGGUAGCCGGCCUGGGAGGGCGACCGGCCACAGUGGGACUGAGAUACGGCCCAGACUCCUACGGGGGGCAGCAGUGGGGAAUAUUGCACAAUGGGCGGAAGCCUGAUGCAGCAACGCCGCGUGCGGGAUGACGGCCUUCGGGUUGUAAACCGCUUUCAGCAGGGGAGAAGCUUGUGGUGACGGUACCUGCAGAAGAAGCACCGGCUAACUACGUG
RNAcentral lists this ribosomal RNA (463 nucleotides) under uncultured bacterium. RNAcentral describes it as "partial 16S ribosomal RNA". It matches the Rfam family "Bacterial small subunit ribosomal RNA", at positions 30 to 507 of the family's 1533-position model. The record is from RNAcentral.